GUCAGUCCAACUUUAGCUACUGGACAGAUGGCCUCACUUUUGACUCUAGAAUACUGUGGUAUAUAGAGGAGUUCAUGGUCGACUCAAAGAGUGCAAGGUGUCCAGGUCCUGUGGCUGCAAAACAAGCCCAAAUCAUCACCCCUCCACCUCCAUUGUUGACGACAAAGAGGAUGGCAAUAAGAGCACUCUGGACAACUGAGGAUAACAAGCAACACUGAAUAGCAAAGCAAGUCAGUCCAGAAA
This is a non-coding RNA of Notechis scutatus (mainland tiger snake), 243 nucleotides long. Lineage: Eukaryota; Metazoa; Chordata; Lepidosauria; Squamata; Elapidae. The record is from RefSeq and is a predicted model, not a curated record.